AAGGUUCCGCGCGUUGUAUCGAUUUAAACCACAUGCUCCACCGCUUGUAUGAGCCCCCGUCAAUUCCUUUGAGUUCCAGCCUUGCGACCGUACUCCCCAGGCGGAAUGGUCUCGUUCGAGUGUCUCCCUCCCGACUGAACAGAGGAAGGAGCGCCAUUCAUCGUUGACUGCGUGGACUACAAGGGUAUCUAAUCCUUUUCGCUCCCCACGCCUUCGCAUCUCAACGUCAGAUAGAAAAAAGUCUCCUGCUUUCGCUUUCGGUGUUCUAUGUCAGAUCUAUGAAUCUUAGCCCUCCCUGACACAUUCCGGAAACCUCUUUGUAUCUCAAGAUUUGUGAUCUUUCUUGCGAUUCCAAAGGAAUCUUUGGGCUUUUGCAAAAAAUCAUUGCUCAAAUCCGCCUACAUGCGCUGUACGCCCAGUCAUUCCGAAUAACACUUGCCCCCUUCGUCUUACCGCGGCUGCUGGCACGAAGUUUGCCGGGGCUUCUUUUGAAACUCUUGUCAUGAUCUAAAGUUUCUGAAAAAGAUUUACGACCGAUAUGGCCUUCUUCUCUUACGAAGUAUCGCUGGAUCAAGCUUUCGCCCAUUGUCCAAUAUUCCUUACUGCUGCCUCCAGAUGGAGUCUGGGCCGUCUCUCAGUCCCAAUGUGGCGGGUCAUCCUCUCAGAUCCGCUAAGGGUCAUCGGCUUGGGGAGCUUUUCUCUCUCCAACUACCUGAUCCUCCAUAGGCUCAUCUUUUCAGAAUCGGUCGCCUUCAAAUGUGAAGACGCACCUUGGCAAAAUGAAAAGGUAGAUUCCUAUGUAUUCCUCACCCGUUCGCUGGAAAGAUACACACUGGAAUCUUCCCAACUUGCAUGUAUUACGCAUACUUCUAGCGUUCAUUCUGAGCCAGGAUCAAAC
RNAcentral lists this ribosomal RNA (898 nucleotides) under Prasinococcus capsulatus. Its description in RNAcentral is "partial Bacterial small subunit ribosomal RNA". Lineage: Eukaryota; Viridiplantae; Prasinodermophyta; Palmophyllophyceae; Prasinococcales; Prasinococcaceae. The record is from RNAcentral.